Molecule: small nucleolar RNA, 99 nt
Organism: Otolemur garnettii (small-eared galago)
Lineage: Eukaryota; Metazoa; Chordata; Mammalia; Primates; Galagidae
Source: Ensembl
AUCCUUUCGCAUAAGCAUGAUGAUUGGGUUUUCAUGAGCAUGCGUGAGACGUGCCGCCCACAACUCUUGUUACUACGUGGGCGCAUUACCCGUCUGACA